RNAcentral lists this ribosomal RNA (253 nucleotides) under uncultured bacterium. Its description in RNAcentral is "partial 16S ribosomal RNA". It matches the Rfam family "Bacterial small subunit ribosomal RNA", at positions 524 to 776 of the family's 1533-position model. The record is from RNAcentral.
UACGUAGGCAGCGAGCGUUGUUCGGAGUUACUGGGCGUAAAGCGUGCGUAGGCGGCUAGAUGUGUCAAAGGUGAAAUCCCUCGGCUCAACUGAGGAACUGCCUUUGAAACUGUCUGGCUUGAGGCCGGGAGAGGGUAGCGGAAUUCCCAGUGUAGCGGUGAAAUGCGUAGAUAUUGGGAGGAACACCAGUGGCGAAGGCGGCUACCUGGACCGGUUCUGACGCUGAGGCGCGAAAGCGUGGGUAGCAAACAGG